RNAcentral lists this unclassified non-coding RNA (237 nucleotides) under Hevea brasiliensis (rubber tree). The record is from RNAcentral. Lineage: Eukaryota; Viridiplantae; Streptophyta; Magnoliopsida; Malpighiales; Euphorbiaceae.
UCAAUACAGAAUAACCGACUCCGAGGCUCUAGCUGCAUCAAUGGAGGCAGCUGGAAAGAUUCGUAUGAUGAUAGAGGCAAAACUCUCUCCUGGGCCUUCCGUAUGUAAUAUCCGUAGACAUGGUGACAGUAGUCGUUUGCAUGAUGUUGGUGUCAGUGUUGCCAGUGGUAAUUUUCUUGCGGCCAAGAGAAGAGGAGUUGUUGGUGGCGUUGAUUUUGGAGCAACUGGUGAAGUAAA